This 263-nucleotide ribosomal RNA is filed under the name uncultured bacterium. Its description in RNAcentral is "partial 16S ribosomal RNA". It matches the Rfam family "Bacterial small subunit ribosomal RNA", at positions 29 to 289 of the family's 1533-position model. The record is from RNAcentral.
AUUAACGCUAGCGGCAGGCAUAAUACAUGCAAGUUGAACGGCAGCACAGGUAGCAAUACUGGGUGGCGAGUGGCGCACGGGUGCGUAACACGUAUGCAACCUACCCUAUACAGGCGAAUAACCUUUAGAAAUGAGGGCUAAUACGCCGUAGUAUUACAGAUGGGCAUCUAUUUGUAAUUAAAGAUUUAUCGGUAUAGGAUGGGCAUGCGUCCCAUUAGUUAGUAGGUAAGGUAACGGCUUACCAAGACGAUGAUGGGUAGGGG